Molecule: ribosomal RNA, 253 nt
Filed under: uncultured bacterium
Lineage: Bacteria
Description: partial 16S ribosomal RNA
Rfam family: Bacterial small subunit ribosomal RNA
Source: RNAcentral
UACAGAGGUCUCAAGCGUUGUUCGGAUUCAUUGGGCGUAAAGGGCGCGUAGGCUGCGGGGCAAGUCGGGUGUGAAAUCUCAGAGCUCAACUCUGAAACUGCACUCGAUACUGCUUUGCUCGAGGACUGGAGAGGAGAUUGGAAUUCACGGUGUAGCAGUGAAAUGCGUAGAUAUCGUGAGGAAGACCAGUGGCGAAGGCGGAUCUCUGGACAGUUCCUGACGCUGAGGCACGAAGGUCAGGGGAGCAAACGGG